AAAACCAAAGAUCUCUGUGACAUUUUCUUUCGCCUCUCUCCUCUUUUCUUUUUCUUCUUUUAUUUUUUUGGCAGGAGCAGGAAGCUGCGUGCUAAUCCCGCCUGCAAAAGCUAGAAGAGAGGGUGGAAUGAAAGAACAAAUCAUGAGCCGGGGACCAAGAACAGAACAACCAAUCCUUGCCUUGAAGAUGAAGUGGGCUAGGACUGGGAAGUGGAAAAGCCAAUCCUCAAGUUCAAAUGGAAUUGAAAAUGGCUCUGAAUAGCUGACAAUAUUGAAAAAGAAGAAAAAGAUUGGAAAACUUACAUUUCCCAAUUUAAGGCCUGCUCUUUCACUGGAACUUAAAGAUGACCAUCAGUAUCUCUUCUUUGACCUGUAGUGGUCUCAAGGGUGGCCCUGCAUCUCCAGUUAGUCUGCCUUGGAUAACACCCUGACUCGCUGGAACCUCAUCAUGCCUGGGUCUUUCCUGACCCUUUUACCACCUUCCUACCAAAGGGGCACUGGACAGUUUUCCUACUCUUCCUUCUUCCUCUCCUGCAGAAAGUCUGGUUCAAUGGGGCUGAGCUGAAAACCUGGCAUCAACGUUUUAACAAGUACCUUAGAUGAUCUGGUGCAGGUGGUCUGUGGAUUAUGCAUUCUGACACACUGCUUCACAGCUUUCAUGAACAUUCUCAUCCUUAUCUCCAUUACUUGUAAAAGGAACCCUUUCUCUUUAGAAACGGUCUUUUAGAUCAUACAGAGGAAUUAGUUCAGCUUGCAGAGACUUGGUAAAUUUAUUAUCUUCCUGAAGCCAAGUGAGACCACACAAGAGCAUGUGACAUGACAUCUCAAGUUCAUUGAUAAAGAGACUUCACAAAGAUACUAUAGAGAAGAUUUUGCCACUGUUAUCUUUUCCACCUCUUCUCCAUUCAGUAUCCUCUGCCUUAUAAGACCCCCUAUCCUGCAAUGAGGAGUAAGAGAGAAGACAGACAGUGGUUGCCUUUCUGGCCCUUAUAUUCUUUUAGGUUCCUCACAAAGGAUAGUGCCCCUAAUCUUGCCCUUAAUUCCAGGGUUUUUCACCACUUUAAGCCCACCAUUAUGCUUGAAGACCCUCAGCUUACCUACAUUCUAUAUACUAGACAAGGCAAUUGGGUUCUUGCAGGGGACCGUUAAGUACUUGAGAUGAAGAAAAGCUAACUUGUAGUAGACUUAGCAUGAAACAAAAGAGACAAGAGAGCCACCAUGUAAACAACAGGCAAUUCGCGGUCAUUCCAUCAUGAAUUAGAAAGGUGAGAUCCUUGCUUUAGACACAGAGAGAAGGGAGCCUGGUAGUUUUUUGCCUGUUAGCAUGCUUUACUCCAUUUUUGUUUGAUGAUCAGCUCUCCAUGCAGUUAAAAUUCUGUAGUGUUAGGCCUCUGUGACUCAUAACACUCAACUAUCAUGUUUGAUCUUUAUGAGUUUUGGGCAUAAUUAGCUAAUUAAUUAAUUAGGCAAAUAUUCAUUAAGCCCUUACCGUGUGCCAAGUGCUCUGCUGGGUCUUCGAUAUAUACAGAUGUGAGUACAUCCUUGUCUCCAUGGAGCUUACAGUCUAGGGACUCAAUCCUCACAGGGAAAACAAGAAUCAGAGAAGCCAAGCCACCUGCCUAGAGUUGCAAAGCCAUUGGAAGCCAAGUCCCCUGUUCUUUUUCUCUACAGAACUUGAUUACUGAGAUCAUGAUCUCUUGUCUUGACAUCUUGAGAUACAAGUACAGGGACAAGGGCUUUGAAUGGCUCUUCCUGCAGCAGACUCACCAGGUGCUGACCGCCCCCUCCAUCAAUGCUAACCACCCCCCUGCUCACUGCUUUUCUGAAUUAGGGUCACUGAUGCUUUCUAUGUAAGUCCCAAUUCCUUCAAACUUACAAACCAGUCCUCUGGUCAUGGGUUUCCUCCCUGUGCCGACUCAGCACGCUGACCAGUGGGCUCUGGAAUUCGUCUUGCUUCUGAAAACCUGGUGUGCUUGGGAGAAACCAUAGAUUCCUGAAUUCUCAGCAAGACAAGCUUCCCUCUUCUUUCUUUUUUCCUUCCCUUCCUUUUCUUUCUCUUCCCAUCUUUUCCUUUCCUUUCUCCUCGUUCCUCCCGCCCCCAACCCCACCGUGCUGGCACUGUUCUGAUGACCAGGCUUCUGUCGGGGGAGACCUGCAAAGGACUCUAGCUCUCUCUGGGAACUCAAGCACUCCCCUAAAUCCAGCUUAUUUGAUUGGGGUCCUAACAGCCCAGCUUAAUUCUUGACAGGUCUUUUCCCGGGAUAGGGAAAAGGGAUACUAGGGUUUGGCCUGAGUUUUGCUGUGAAGAGACAGGUUAUCUGAAGCCAGGAAGUCUACACCUAUCUGGAUUCCUUCUGCCAUACUUCUGGGAAGGCUUGGUGGCCCAGGCACCCUAGGUGAGUGUGAGCUGAUCAUUUUGCCUCCAGCCAUGUGGUUGUCCCAGGGGGCACUGUAGGGACAGCUCCCCCAACUUGGUCCUUGCCCGUUCACACUUCUGCUUGCUCCUUACCAGUCACAUGGCUGGGGCCCCACCUCACUAUAUAUGGCGGAGCCUGCUUGAAUGAGGUCCAGGAUGAAUUUUCCAUGACACAUUCAUCCUCUUUUGCCUUGUGAUCAAGUACAUGUGUGUUCCACAGAGAUGCAUAAUGAGACCUUCUAGCUUAUGCCAGGGUCACUCCUGGAGGCACAUUGCCUUGUUAUGGUGGCCAUUCCCAGCUGAGAUACCACAAGAUGAUGUUUGCACAUCAGCAGCAAGAAGAAUUAGGAAUUAAAUGACCCAGGGUAGGUAAAGCUCUUUGCCUGGUAUCAGAGAUACAGGGAACAAGGACUCAGCAAUUCAUUCAGCAUUGGCCUUAAAGAUCAAGUGGAUCUAAGCUUGUGGGAGCACAGUUCACGAGCCUGACUACAUCUGGCUAGGAAUGAAGUGAAAGAGCAAGGGAUUCCAAUAUACUGUUUCCUUUUCCAUCUUCCAUUUAUUAUUAUAUUUAGAAUUUCUGUGGGACUUCCUGCUUGUCUAAGCAACCACUUAUCCAGCCCUUCCAAUGAUGUCUCCCCUUUGCUUUUCACAGGCAGUUUGGGAAGAUCCUUAAAAUGAAACACAUCUUCCUUUUUCCUAAGGCAUCCCCCACCUUUCUCAACUCAUAAGAGUCAGAGUCACUGCAAACUGGGACCCAGCAGACAAAAACAAGGGGUGUGCAUGAACCAUCAUGGUAAAGAGAACAAGGUUCUGGAGGCAGAUGGUUUUGGCUUUAUAUCAGGCCCCUGCUGUUUACUAGCUAUGAGAUAUUUACUAGCUACUAGCAGAUUACUUCGUCUCUCUAAGCCUCAGUUUCUGCAUCUUUCAGGGUGUCUGACCCAGCAUUUAGAGUGGGUUAAACAAAUGACAGGCAUCAACUCUUAUUCUAUUCUGUUGGUAGGCAACUCAAAUCCAAGAAGGAGAGAUGAUAAAAGCUAUUAUCUAGAGAAGAGGCUAAGUUUCAGGAAAUGUGCAUGGUUAUUUGGAGGGUAGUGGUGGUAAAUAAGUAGUCCCACUGAUUCUGUCCAAUACACCUCCAAGGUGCCCCCCAGUAAUCUCCACCUCCUGGUGUUCAUGCCCUCAUGUAACCCCUCCCCUUGAGAGACUAGUGACUCAAUUCUAGCAAACAGAAUUCAGCAGAAGUGAUGGGAUGACACUUUUGAGAUUUGGUUAUGAAAAGACUUCACCUUGGGUGUGGUUUCUCUUGCUCUGUCUCUGAUCACUUGUGCUGGGGGGACUCAAGCUGCCAUGUGUGAGCUGCCCUGUGGGCAGGCCCAUGUGGCAUGGUGAGGAACUAAGGUCCAACCACAUGAGCAAGGUUGGAAGUGGGUCCUUCAGUUCUAGCUGAGACUUCAGAUGAGACCACAUCCCUGGCGAACAAUUUGACUGCAACCUCAAGAGAGAACCUGAACCAGAGGCACCCAGCUAAGCCCCAUCACAAUUCCUAACUCAGAGAAUCUGUGAGAUAAUAAAUGUUCU
Long non-coding RNA from Manis javanica (Malayan pangolin), 3994 nucleotides. RefSeq lists it as uncharacterized. Lineage: Eukaryota; Metazoa; Chordata; Mammalia; Pholidota; Manidae. The record is from RefSeq and is a predicted model, not a curated record.